GUGAGAUGUCUGCAGCAAGCAAGUGGUAACUUGGUGCCCUGAGAGAAUGGAGAGGCAUUGGGGGGCUCAGUCAGGUCUACCCAAGGGCUCGAGGGGAAUGCCAAAUGUGCAGAGCUCAAUGUCCAGGUUCCAUAACUAGAGUAUGCCUCUGUAUCAAGGGAGGCUAGGUAUUGUAAACCACCCUCCAGAUGUCCAGACCAUACUGUUCUAUCUGCAAUCAGAGGCGGCACACAAACUGGAGUCCUCACUGCUUAAAAAAUAAGGGUCUGCAGUAAAACCUUCUUCAUAUGAGACAUUCACCUUUAACCUACUCCUACCCUCAAUCUGGAAGAGCCUGGGACCAUGGUCAAGGUCUUUUUUUUUUACCCAAGCUUUUCAUAGAUUCAUAAAUAUUAAGGUCAGAAGGGACCAUUA
Long non-coding RNA from Dermochelys coriacea (leatherback sea turtle), 414 nucleotides. RefSeq lists it as uncharacterized. The record is from RefSeq and is a predicted model, not a curated record. Lineage: Eukaryota; Metazoa; Chordata; Testudines; Dermochelyidae. The transcript is spliced from 3 exons.